This 494-nucleotide ribosomal RNA is filed under the name uncultured bacterium. RNAcentral describes it as "partial 16S ribosomal RNA". It matches the Rfam family "Bacterial small subunit ribosomal RNA", at positions 28 to 507 of the family's 1533-position model. The record is from RNAcentral.
GACGAACGCUGGCGGCGUGCUUAACACAUGCAAGUCGAACGGAAAGGCCUGCUUUCCCUUGUGGAUUGCGGGUACUCGAGUGGCGAACGGGUGAGUAACACGUGAGUGAUCUGCCCCCAACUUGGGUAUAAGCCUGGGAAAUUGGGUCUAAUUCCCGAUAGGACUGCAGGGUGGUGCCUGUGGUGGAAAACGAUUUUCUAGUGGUUGGGGAUGAGCUCGCGGCCUAUCUGCUUGUUGGUGGGGUAAUGGCCUACCAAGGCGGCGACGGGUAGCCGGCCUGAGAGGGUGGACGGCCACAUUGGGACUGAGAUACGGCCCAGACUCCUACGGGAGGCAGCAGUGGGGAAUAUUGCACAAUGGGCGGAAGCCUGAUGCAGCGACGCCGCGUGGGGGAUGACGGCCUUCGGGUUGUAAACUCCUUUCGACCGCGAGGAAGCCACCUGGUUGGAAGGGUGGUGACGGUAGUGGUAGAAGAAGCACCGGCUAACUACGUG